UCUGUUACUUAGAACCUGUCAUUCUUUCUUUACUAUCAUUAUGUUUUUCCCUCUGGGCACUGUUUUUUUUUUUUUUCUUUUUUUACUUACUUAUUUCUCCAUAUAACAGUGUUUAACAUCCUUCGCCAUACAUGUAUUGGUAUUCUAUCUGUUUUUCCCCUCGAUCUUCUAUUUUCUUAAGGCUUCUAUGCUCCCUUAUUGCUGUUUAGUGGUGCUUUUCGUUUCCCAGUAGCUUCUUUUACUUAUUUAUUGGUCCUGCCCUUUUUCUUCAUGAAAACCCAGGAAUGAUUUUCCUGUUUUGACAAUUUGUUGUUUACAAAACAUAGCUAGUACUUUUUAACAUCGUAUUUUCAAAAACAAAUGGAAAAUAUGGGGAAAUGCCCAUUUCAUGUGCUAGUAGGCGUUGGGUUUUCAAAUGUCCAAUGGGUAUGCUCAGGAAAAAUGGAAGGACAAAAUGGCUGCAAUGGCUCUGUACAAAUGCUCUCUCUGAAUUUUGGUGCGAAUGUCAACAUUGUUUCCCAAGUACCUGGAGAUUGUACAAACCACCACCAUGUUUCGCCUGCCGAUAGGAAUAUAAACCAAACUAACUUCCCCCAUAUAAUUGAGUGGACUCAAACUGCAAAAACGUCUCCGACCUUUGUUGAGUUUAUUGCUGAAACUUCAAACUUUCCUAGAAAGGAAUCUACCAAAGAUAUGAUAGCAGUUGUUCCUGUCAGUUCCGUUCAAACUAUUGAUGGAGUCUCUGAGAUUCAUGGAGAAAUUUCAUACAAUCAUCCCGCAGGUUCAUACACUUCAAAACCUACUGAUUCACGCAAGGACAAUAUAUCAGGUAGUCUAUCCAAGCCACGUACCACUUCAUCAAGUAGACGAGGCUAUUCAACUGACCGUCAACGCAGGAUAAGGAUAGCUGAAAGACUCGAAGCAUUGCAGGCACUACUGCCUCUGGCUUCAAAGGGAAAUCAAGCAUCUGCUCUAGAUGAUGUCAUUGACCACAUCAAGUACUUACAGCUUCAAAUAAAGCUUGUUGGCUUCAUGGGUCUUCCUAACCACUGCUGGUGUUGUGCCGUCAAUUGAUUCCCACACUUGGGAAAAAUGCUUUCGACGGCUUUCCGUCAAUCUAUACACAGCUCAUUUCCUUCAUAGUCUUAAACACACGAGAUUUUGAGAGCGUUUUCAAUCAUUCUCUUUUAGUUAAAAUAUUUGAUAAAGAAAUUUAUUUUGGUGGGUUUUAAAUAUUUGGGUGUAUGAAGUACUUGGUGAGUUGAGUGUGCUCUUUUGUAAUCUCAUCUUUUGGAACAUUAGUGGAAACAUUCUCGUCAUCUUUGCAUGUGGAUGUAGGCAUAGUCUGAACGACAUAAGUUCUUUUAAUUUUUUUCUUCUCUCUUUUUACAUUUGUUAUUCAGAUUAUUUUCACUGUACAUUAGUCUCUGCUCAGGUUUGAAGGGAUGUUGGCGUGAGAGAGAGAGAUCCAUAUGCUGGUAAUGUAGAUAAGAAUUUGGCUCAUCGAGCCCAUACGAUGCUGAAUAUCUCAAAUUGUAUAAGCAUUGAUCCAAAAUAUUGGAGACUUGUAAAGAAAUAUAGUAAGCUGGUAGCAAAAACUUGGGCAUGUUCUUGAGCAAUAAGGGCCCAUGGUCAUAAUGAAUAAUUGUUUCAAUAAGCAGGCGACCUGCCAAUACUUCGAAAUAUCUUAACGUACAUAAUGGUGUUACGGGUGAAAUUGCUUUAAAAUGAUUUUAAGGGUGUAGAUAAAACUGAGGCAUCUAUGUUGCUGCGCAGGACUUGAGUCAGAGUAAAAUAGGCGGAGAAUCCUCUUCUGAGCCUUUCCUAUUCGUUGAGGGAUAUGGCCAUUACAUGAGCCAUCAAGAGAUGCAGGGCGAGCCACUUGAAGAGAUGGUAGGAAAAUUGCUGGAAGUUGACCCGUUAGCUGCUGCUCAGCUGCUGGAGAACAAGGGUCUAUUCGUGAUGCCCAUGGAUUUUGUUGAAGGAUUAUGCUGAACCAUUUAAUCAACCAUGGAGCUUCCUGUAUGAAACAGUUCUCUCUCGGUUAAUGCUUCUGCUUUAUUAAGUACCUACGGCUUGUCAAUCACCUCACUUGAAAGUAAAGAUACCUGGGUAACACUGAAAAAUGAUAGUUUUGUUUGUCCGUAGCAUCAUUCCAUUUUGGGGGGAAAAAAAAUCUCACA
This is an RNA transcript of Cucurbita maxima (winter squash), 2183 nucleotides long. It is a transcript of the gene named transcription factor bHLH69-like, with no coding region annotated. The transcript is spliced from 7 exons. NCBI's taxonomy places the organism in Eukaryota, Viridiplantae, Streptophyta, Magnoliopsida, Cucurbitales, Cucurbitaceae. The record is from RefSeq and is a predicted model, not a curated record.